AUUUUAAUGAAGAGUGCUUUCUUGUAGACAUUGAUGCAGUACAUAGGGCUGGUAAGGAAGUAGUAACAGUGCGGAGGGGGUAAGUAUGUCAGUCUGGCAUGUUUUCUUCUAAAUUAAUAUUCAAAAAGGUGCCAUUCAAGGAACACUUUUGGUCAUACCUUGCAACCAGUACUGAGACAUGACAUAAAGUUAAAACUCCAGGUGCCUUUUUGAGAUAAGUGUGAAUCCACAUUCACAACCUGGGUUGAGAAAGGUCACACUUCUCUACUUACUAAAAUGGAGUCCUUCAAUCUUAAGUCAGCCCAGCAAUUCAGUUGUAUUGACCUGAUGGAGGCCAUCCGAGGUUUCACUGCCAUUAGGAGCAGGGCUUGUUUUAUGCGCUCCGUGCAUGCUGAUGGUGCAGGGAGUGGUGGAAGAUGUGCCACCUCAAAUCUGGAUAAUUCCUUUAAUCCCUUCCUUCAAUACAACCUGCUCUUAAAACUGAACACUGAUUUUCAUUCUUUUCAUGAUUAGUGUUUCCCCACCCUUAUCUUUGCAUUCACUCCCUCUCAUAAAGGAUGCAUUUUCAGAGUCCAGAUGGAUUAGGAUAACUGCUUACAAAUUCCAUGGCAAUAGUUAAGUUCUGAGGAAAAGCAGGCUUUGUGAUAAGACCACUGGAUGUCUUUCAAUUUUCAAAAGUCAGAUUUCAUUCCACAGCUUGUCAUACAGUUUACAGAAUUAUGAGAAUCCUCCCUGGAUUCACAGUGUCUUUCUUAAUAGAGUCAUACAUUAAUGAAUGUUACCCAUUAUUUAAUAUUUAAAUUUCAAAUUCUAGUUUCUACUUUACAAGGAAAAGGACACGAAGACAAAACUGAUUGACCCAUGGUCAGUCAGGAGAAAAUGUGUCUUAGCUCCUAAUUUAGUGACCUAUAUGCUAAAUUACACCUUUUCAUCCCUCUGAGAACAUAAUUCUGGAAGCUUGUAUAAACAAAAUAGGCCCCAAAUUACAUUCUCACCACAGAAAUUAGAUAAUUUAUCAAGUGCAAAAAGAACACGAGAAUAUUCUGCACAAUUUAUCAAGGACCUUCAAAUAAAUCCAUUACAAAAAAUACCCCUUCAGGCAAAAUAAAUAAGACUGAAAUUCAGCAUAACAAAUUUGCAAAGUUUAAAAUUAGCUUAACGUGAGGGCUGCAAUUCCAGUUACAAAGCAAAUGUCCCAAGUUCCCCCAAAGAACUUAAGACAAAUUGAUUAAAGUUGUUCAGUUAUUUUAGAAUAUUUUGUUUAGAGAAACCAAACUUGAAGUCUCAUUAAAAGUAACAUCUAUCAAGUGAUAAAGCAAAUGUAACAUAAUAUUACUGCAGAUUCUAGGUCGUAGAUGUUCACUAUACAAGUCUUUCAACAUUUCUGCAUGUUUGGGAAAUUUCAUCAAGUGCUGAAGAAAAAAAGCAAAAAAAGUAACAUCUGCGCCUUACCAUCUAAAAUUUACAUGACAAGGUACCAGAAAUUGGUCAGCUUCAACUGCUGCUUUCAAUAAAUGUUCAUUAUUACAGAUCGUCCAGUAUCUCUGUAUUAUUCCAUCAUUAGAAUAAAAAACACCUGCCUUCAUUCUGUUUCACUUUUUUCUACUAUUUAUCCCCAAAAUAAAAGUUAAAUCAUAUUGUAGUAUACCAAUAAACAGUCUUUGCUGCCAAUAGAUAGUAAUAAACUACCAAACUUCAAAUCAACAUUCAGACUU
This 1715-nucleotide long non-coding RNA is filed under the name Homo sapiens (human). Its description in RNAcentral is "HSALNT0174172". The record is from RNAcentral. Lineage: Eukaryota; Metazoa; Chordata; Mammalia; Primates; Hominidae.